Molecule: ribosomal RNA, 429 nt
Filed under: Chloroflexota bacterium
Lineage: Bacteria; Bacillati; Chloroflexota
Description: Chloroflexi bacterium partial 16S ribosomal RNA
Rfam family: Bacterial small subunit ribosomal RNA
Source: RNAcentral
UGGGGAAUAUUGCACAAUGGGCGCAAGCCUGAUGCAGCCAUGCCGCGUGUGUGAAGAAGGCCUUCGGGUUGUAAAGCACUUUCAGCGGGGAGGAAGGCGUUAAGGUUAAUAACCUUGGCGAUUGACGUUACCCGCAGAAGAAGCACCGGCUAACUCCGUGCCAGCAGCCGCGGUAAUACGGAGGGUGCAAGCGUUAAUCGGAAUUACUGGGCGUAAAGCGCACGCAGGCGGUUGAUUGAGUCAGAUGUGAAAUCCCCGGGCUUAACCCGGGAAUUGCAUCUGAUACUGGUCAGCUAGAGUCUUGUAGAGGGGGGUAGAAUUCCAUGUGUAGCGGUGAAAUGUGUAGAGAUGUGGAGGAAUACCGGUGGCGAAGGCGGCCCCCUGGACAAAGACUGACGCUCAGGUGCGAAAGCGUGGGGAGCAAACAGG